This is a long non-coding RNA of Homo sapiens (human), 2010 nucleotides long. The record is from Ensembl. NCBI's taxonomy places the organism in Eukaryota, Metazoa, Chordata, Mammalia, Primates, Hominidae.
CACAUAGGCGGGUGCCUGCCUGGCUCCCCCAGCAGCCGGGCUGUGGGAAGAUGGGUGAGAGUCAGCUCUCUGAGUGCUUGGCGGCAGGCGGUCAGCUCAGCUGGUGGGAACAGCAGGACGGUGUGGACGUCAGCCUGGCACGGGGCAGGGGUGCCCCUCAGCAGAAUGGCAUGGGGGCUGUGGCAAGCUCCCCUCCAUCUCUGGUCCCUGGAGUCAGACUAGACCUUCGCCGCAUCCGGCUCGAAGGCUCGGAUGGAUGAUGGAUUGCCCGGCCCAUCUUCCCCGGGGGGUUGGAUCUGAGACCAUCAGCAUCCAGCAGCCGUGAGUGUGAUGGAUGAACCGAGGCCAGUCACCUAGUGGGGAAACGACAUCUCACAUUUAAAGAACACCAGGCGUUUCUACACAGCGGGGGAAGGAAAUCCGUCCUGAUUUUAAACUUUGGCACAGCUGUGAAACCGAGGGUAGUGAACUCUGAGGAGAGGACUCUUUUCUGUAAGUGGCCCUCCAAGAGCCGAAGUCCCGGUCCCGAGAGAUGCGUGUCAUGUGUGUGGCCUUGUGACAGAGCCGCUGGGGUUCUCUGUCUACUUCUGGAUCGUCCCCGUGUUGCUGGGUGGGCUCCCUGUUCCCCCACCCCAGGCCGUGCAGGCUGGCUUCGCAGUGGACUCGGCUGUGGGAGGUCCUGGCAGGGCGGGUGCUCCUUCCCCGCUUCCCCUACACCCCCGUGACUACAGCCCCAUCCCUGGCAUCAGCAUCCUUGGGAUCUUUGCCCCUCAAGCCCGUAACCUUGCUGGUCUCUGAGGCUGUACAGAAACCUGUUUCCUGCAGGGACAUACAUUUAACGUCCGUGAAAGCCUCAGACCCCCUGAGCACACCUGCCUAGCCGUGUUGUGGACGAACAAGGGCUGACGAAAUGCCUGUGGAGGCUGAUUUCACCGGAGUCAGGGGAAGUCAGUCUAAGCAAAGAGCAGGGGCACGGAUGAAAAUAACAGAACAGUGACCCAGGUAGGAACCGUGUGCCGGGGAGGCUGGGCCAAGCAUUUAUAGAAACUGCCCAAAGAGCAGAGCAGGGCGGGCGUUUCGGCCCAUUUUACAGACCAGGAAAACGGGCGGAGAGGCUGAGUGACUGCCCGAGGCGACACACAGCUCUCCCGCCCUGUUUGCUUACACACAUUCUUGGCCAUGCAGUGAAGGGAGUUCCCAGCAGUGUCCCCCGCCCACUCGCAUCCUAUUGCCCAGCUGAGCCCCUCCCUUGGCUCUCCCACCCAUGGGCCUGAUGGCCACAGCUGGGAUCCACCGGACACUGCAGUCCCCCAGGCUUCGGGUCUUUGCCUCCUUAGUCACCUGCGAAGCACCUCCUAUGUGCCAGCUCUGCCCGUCCAGGGAGAAGCAGCACAGCCCGGCCACCCGAGGCCUCCUGUGCGCUUCCCCGUCUGAGGUCCGUGAUCAGAACUGCGGGCCUCUCCCCAGAGGUCGGGGCAGCGACAGGACAGCCGCGGGCUUCUCCGCAGAGGUCGGGGCAGCGACAGGACAGCCUCAGCCUCUUCAGAUGCUGCCUUCAGGGAGCAGUGAAAGAGGGAGGGAGAGACAGAGAGCACCCGGGCGGGUCUCCCAGCCACACCAGGCUGGUGGGUGGGAUUUAUGUGCCAGGUACUGUGCUGGCUAUCACCGGGGCCUGGUGGUCUCUUGGAGUCACAAGCAGCCGCCUGAGAUGAGGUUUAUCAUUUUGAGCUAGAAUAGGACUGAAGCUCAUUCCCGAGGGGCUGGCCGGGCCGGCUCUCCCUGCCUGCCGGCAUCUCCACUGCCUCUGCUGUCCUGAAGCUCUUAUGAGGGUUCACAUUACUAGGACGCCAAUGUGGGUUCUCCUCUGGGCACUGGCCCCAAGGCACCCCAACCUCAGACAUGUCACCUCCUGGGCCUACUAGAAAUGGAGACUGCAGUUCUAUGAUGGGAAAAUCUCUACACCAUCGGUCAUUUGGGCUAUAGAAGAAAAAGAAAUUAUUUUCAGCUGCA